GACGAACGCUGGCGGCGUGCUUAACACAUGCAAGUCGAACGGAAAGGCCCUGCUUUUGUGGGGUGCUCGAGUUGCGAACGGGUGAGUAACACGUGAGUAACCUGCCCUUGACUUUGGGAUAACUUCAGGAAACUGGGGCUAAUACCGGAUAGGAGCUCCUGCUGCAUGGUGGGGGUUGGAAAGUUUCGGCGGUUGGGGAUGGACUCGCGGCUUAUCAGCUUGUUGGUGGGGUAGUGGCUUACCAAGGCUUUGACGGGUAGCCGGCCUGAGAGGGUGACCGGCCACAUUGGGACUGAGAUACGGCACAGACUCCUACGGGAGGCAGCAGUGGGGUAUAUUGCACAAUGGGCGGAAGCCUGAUGCAGCCACGCCGUGUGCGGGAUGACGGCAUUCGGGUUGUAAACCGCUUUCGCCUGUGACGAAGCGUGAGUGACGGUAAUGGGUAAAGAAGCACCGGCUAACUACGUG
RNAcentral lists this ribosomal RNA (468 nucleotides) under uncultured bacterium. RNAcentral's name for it is "partial 16S ribosomal RNA". It matches the Rfam family "Bacterial small subunit ribosomal RNA", at positions 28 to 507 of the family's 1533-position model. The record is from RNAcentral.